CCAAUAGCGUAUAUUAAAGUUGUUGCAGUUAAAAAGCUCGUAGUUGAAUUUCGGGAUUGACACAUCGGUCGUGCCUUAAGGGGUAUGAACUGGUGUAGUCAAUUUCUCACCUUCUGGAGAACCGCGAUGCCCUUAAUUGGGUGUCGCGGGGAACCAGGACCUUUACUUUGAAAAAAUUAGAGUGUUUAAAGCAGGCAUUUUGCUUGAAUACAUUAGCAUGGAAUAAUAAAAUAGGACGGCAUGAUUCUAUUUUGUUGGUUUCUAGGAUCACCGUAAUGAUUAAUAGGGAUAGUUGGGGGCAUUAGUAUUCAAUUGUCAGAGGUGAAAUUCUUGGAUUUAUUGAAGACUAACUACUGCGAAAGCAUUUGCCAAGGAUGUUUUCAUUAAUCAAGAACGAAAGUUAGGGGAUCAAAGACGAUCAGAUACCGUCGUAGUCUUAACCAUAAACUAUGCCGACUAGGAAUCAGACGAUGUUAAUUUUUUAAUGACUCGUUUGGCACCUUACG
This 506-nucleotide ribosomal RNA is filed under the name uncultured Glomeromycotina. RNAcentral describes it as "partial small subunit ribosomal RNA". It matches the Rfam family "Eukaryotic small subunit ribosomal RNA", at positions 591 to 1092 of the family's 1831-position model. The record is from RNAcentral. Lineage: Eukaryota; Fungi; Glomeromycota.